AUGGAAACUCUAUACCAAACCAUGCAACAGAUGCAAAACCAACAAAACACAACAUUUGCAUUGGUACAACAAAUGCAUAACAACUACAACACCUUGAAUACAAAUGUUAUUGACCUUGGAGUUUCUAUGCACUCACUUCACCUACGCUUGGACGAAUUCGUACCUCCACAACGCCAAGAUGAGCGCCGUCCAAGAACUCGCGGAAGAGGAAGUCGUUCACAUCGUAACGAUUAG
Molecule: non-coding RNA, 234 nt
Organism: Vicia faba (fava bean)
Lineage: Eukaryota; Viridiplantae; Streptophyta; Magnoliopsida; Fabales; Fabaceae
Source: the annotation of a GenBank genome assembly